RNAcentral lists this long non-coding RNA (1941 nucleotides) under Gallus gallus (chicken). The record is from RNAcentral. Lineage: Eukaryota; Metazoa; Chordata; Aves; Galliformes; Phasianidae.
CUUCAAUAGGCCCCUAAAGGACAAUGCUGCCGGGAGGGGAAGGAAAGGGGGGGGGGGGGAAAAGCGGGCCCGAGUCCCGCCGGCUCUCUCCCGCCUCAACCUCGCGGCGCGGCGGGAGCUGCCCGCACCGCCCCGAGCCGCAGCGCUCAGCCCCGCUCCGCCGCCCGGCGCCGGCAGCGCGCGGCCGAAAGGUCACAGCGGGGCCCGCGCUGCGCUGUCACGGCCGCCCGAGCUCCGGCUCUUCCCGCCCGCUGUGCCGCGCCGCCCGCCCUUCGCCUCUCCCCUCCGGGCGCACCCGGCCCGCGGCGCGGCUCCCCCCGCCCCUCACCUGGCGCCGGGACCCCGCGGGUCGGAGCGGAGCGGAGCGCCGCGGGCGGGGCCGGGCCGGCCGCCAGCCGCUCGCACCGGGGCACCCCGGCCGGGCCCCCGGCCCCGCCUCCCGGCCCUGCCCGCCGCCGGCGCUCGCUGUCACCCCCCGGCCGGCCCCUCUCUCCCCUCCCGCCGCUUCCACUCCCAGCUCCCCCGCCCGGCCCGGGGAGCCGUCCUCCCGCCGCCCGGCCCCGCGGCUCCUCCUCUCGCCGUGCCGCCGGCGCGGGGAGGGAGGGAGCGAGGGAGGCCUCCCCGGCCGGGCCCGGCCCUCGGCGCGGCGGCGGGAACGGAGGCCCCGGGCCCCGUCCUCCCGCCGUCCCGGCCCUGCCCCUCCCGCCACUCUACCCGGGCUUUACCUGCCGUGGCGGCGCGGCGCGGGGCCCCGGGGCCUCUGGCAGCCGGAGGAGACGGCGGACUCCGUCCCGCUGCGGCCGUCCCCGAGUGAGGCGGGCGGGACGGAGCCGGGACCUGCCCCGGGAGGCGUUACGUAAACCGGCGGCGGCGGCGGCUCCCAGCGCCACGGGGAGGGAGGGAGGGGGGGAGGGAGGGGAGAAGGGGGGGGUGGGGGGGGAGGCGGCCGUUCCGUCACCCGGCAACAGGACUCAGCGCCCCGGCGGACCGCGCCGCAGGCCCCGCCCCGUAUCCUUCCGCCCAGAGGGCGGCCCGGAUCCCGCCGCUCAGGCGCGGGGCUGAGGGGAGCAGCGCGCGGGCCGUGAGGGGAGCGGGCAGCCCGUCCGGCUGCAUGGCGGGCAGGAAGGGCGGGGCAGGAGGGGAAGUGUCCCUUUGGCCCGGCUGUGCGCUCCGGCCCCGCCCGCCGGGAGAGCGCCGGGCGCCUGAGGAGAAAAGGGGCGGGAAGAGCCCGGGGAUGGAAUGCGCAGGAGAAGGAAGUGGGGAUAAUGACGGAGUGUCACCGUGUGCGGGCCCUCCGCGGGGCUCGGCGGCUCCGAGGGCACGGAGUGCAAAUAGAGUGGGUUCGGGAGCCGUUCUGAAAAGAAAGGCUGCCUUUGAGAGCCGCUGUCGGGAGCCGCGAAACUUUUAUCCCCGCGGAUGAAGUGCCGGGUUCGUCAGAGCUGUGUACUCACGGAGGGGUAAUGAAAGAGCAACGCUUUUAGCGUGGUGGAUGGAUGAAAAUAGGCCGCUGUGAGACUGAAAAUACGAUGAAGGUGGCACACCGCAGUGCUAAUUAAGUGUCUUAAUUGGGAAAAUAAUAACGCCCUCUCGGAUGUGCAUUGGGUCUGCUCAUUUCUCAGCUGUAUGAGUACACACAGGUGCAAGGAAAGUCAACAUUAUGUAAGAUGCCAAAAACCUUUGCUGGAACGUCGCUCCCUGCUGACAAGAUGAUCCCACACCGGGGUGUGGGCAUUCCGGAGAAUUAAACCUGUGUGUGAAAACACAUCUCAUAGAAACCAUGAACGCAUGCCAAGGUUUGCAAUGCCUAGGCCAGAGGAGGCUGGAGGAAAAUGGGCACUCGUCAUGGAAAGGCAGAAGACACUGUGACAGCAGAUGAUGACCAGCAUCUAGACAGAGAUGUGACCCAGAGGUUUUCAGGUAAAAAUGGAAAUGGAGAUGGAG